This 265-nucleotide ribosomal RNA is filed under the name uncultured Stenotrophomonas sp. RNAcentral's name for it is "partial 16S ribosomal RNA". It matches the Rfam family "Bacterial small subunit ribosomal RNA", at positions 91 to 354 of the family's 1533-position model. The record is from RNAcentral. Lineage: Bacteria; Pseudomonadati; Pseudomonadota; Gammaproteobacteria; Lysobacterales; Lysobacteraceae.
CGGAGUGGCGGACGGGUGAGGAAUACAUCCGGAAAUCUACUCUGUCUGGGGGGAUAACGUAGGGAAACUUAACGCUAAUACCGCAUACGACCUACGGGUGAAAGCAGGGGAUCUUCGGACCUUGCGCGAUUGAAUGAGCCGAUGUCGGAUUAGCUAGUUGGCGGGGUAAAGGCCCACCAAGGCGACGAUCCGUAGCUGGUCUGAGAGGAUGAUCAGCCACACUGGAACUGAUACACGGUCCAGACUCCUACGGGAGGCAGCAGGG